This 505-nucleotide ribosomal RNA is filed under the name uncultured archaeon. Its description in RNAcentral is "bacterial SSU rRNA". It matches the Rfam family "Archaeal small subunit ribosomal RNA", at positions 352 to 859 of the family's 1478-position model. The record is from RNAcentral.
GCAAUACACGAAAGUGUGACGGGGCCAUCCCGAGUGCCGUCCGCUGAGGAUGGCUUUUCCUCAGUUUACAAAGCUGGGGGAAUAAGGAGAGGGCAAGACUGGUGUCAGCCGCCGCGGUAAUACCAGCUCUCCGAGUGGUGGGGACGCUUACUGGGCCUAAAGCAUUCGUAGCCGACUAGGCAAGUCCUCUGUUAAAUCCAGCGAUUUAAUCGUUGGGCCGCGGGGGAUACUGUUUGGUUAGGGGGCGGGAGAGGUCUACGGUAUUCUCGGGGUAGGGGUGAAAUCCUAUAAUCCCGAGGGGACCACCAGUGGCGAAGGCUGUAGACUAGAACGCGCCCGACGGUGAGGGAUGAAAGCUGGGGGAGCGAACCGGAUUAGAUACCCGGGUAGUCCCAGCUGUAAACGAUGCAGGCUAGGUGUUAGGGUGGCAAUGUGCUGCCCUAGUGCCGCAGGGAAGCUGGUAAGCCUGCCGCCUGGGAAGUACGGCCGCAAGGCUGAAACUUAA